AUUGAACGCUGGCGGCAGGCCUAACACAUGCAAGUCGAACGGUAGCACAGAGAGCUUGCUCUCGGGUGACGAGUGGCGGACGGGUGAGUAAUGUUUGGGAAACUGCCUGAUGGAGGGGGAUAACUACUGGAAACGGUAGCUAAUACCGCAUAACGUCGCAAGACCAAAGAGGGGGACCUUCGGGCCUCUUGCCAUCAGAUGUGCCCCGAUGGGAUUAGCUAGUAGGUGGGGUAACGGCUCACCUAGGCGACGAUCCCUAGCUGGUUUGAGAGGAUGACCAGCCCCCCUGGAAAUGAGACCCGGUCCCGACUCCUACGGGAGGCAGCAGUGGGGAAUAUUGCACAAUGGGCGCAAGCCUGAUGCAGCCCUGCCGCGUGUGUGAAGAAGGCCUUCGGGUUGUAAAGCACUUUCAGCGGGGAGGAAGGCGAUAAGGUUAAUAACCUUGUCGAUUGACGUUACCCGCAGAAGAAGCCCCGGCUAACUCCGUG
RNAcentral lists this ribosomal RNA (488 nucleotides) under uncultured bacterium. RNAcentral describes it as "bacterial SSU rRNA". It matches the Rfam family "Bacterial small subunit ribosomal RNA", at positions 30 to 507 of the family's 1533-position model. The record is from RNAcentral.